This 248-nucleotide ribosomal RNA is filed under the name uncultured bacterium. RNAcentral's name for it is "partial 16S ribosomal RNA". It matches the Rfam family "Bacterial small subunit ribosomal RNA", at positions 796 to 1041 of the family's 1533-position model. The record is from RNAcentral.
CACGCCGUAAACGAUGGGUACUAGUUGUUGUGAGCUUAACACUCGCAGUGACGUCGCUAACGCAUUAAGUACCCCGCCUGGGGAGUACGGCCGCAAGGUUGAAACUCAAAGGAAUUGACGGGGGCCCGCACAAGCGGUGGAGCAUGUGGUUUAAUUCGACGCAACGCGAAAAACCUUACCUAGACUUGACAUCUGGAGAAUUCCUUAGAAAUUAGGAAGUGCUCGCAAGAGAGCUCCAAGACAGGUGC